This 573-nucleotide long non-coding RNA is filed under the name Mus spicilegus (steppe mouse). RNAcentral describes it as "lncRNA (ENSMSIG00000031775.1)". Lineage: Eukaryota; Metazoa; Chordata; Mammalia; Rodentia; Muridae. The record is from RNAcentral.
GGUCGGGGCGCCGGCCUGGGCCUCACCCUCACCUCCCUACCCUGGGCCACACGCGACCCCAUGCCUCCCCACCCCCGCCCCUCCAUCCCGCUCACCCUGCAGCCGCGGGCUCUGCUUCCUCCCCGCGGCGGCGCGACUGCCGCGCUCGGCCCUCCUCCUACCGCCGCUCCUCCUUCCUCCUCUUCCUCCUCCCCGAAGGGAGGGCGCGCGGCCGCGGCCCAGGCGGGAGCGGAGCCGCCGCGAAGGAGCCCGGGCCGCCUGCGCCCUCAGCACAGCCCGAAGCCUGGUUCCUCCUUCCUUUGGCUUUAACAAAGAGUGACCGCUGUCUGUCACCUCUGAUGCUACUACAGCUAGAACCACAGAACUGCAACUGCUAGCCACGAGUCGUCCUUGCCAUUCAUCAGAAUGUUAGAAUUAAAACCAGAAGAAGGCUUAUUGAUGGAACUGUAGCAAAGUGGGUGUUACAUGAAGGUAAGCUUGGGCUGAUUUUUUUUCAUCAUUGCUUUGAUAACAUAAACAUGUCUGAAUAUUUAUGUAAAUAAACUAAACUUUAUGUCUAACUCUGAAAACUAG